AAGUCGUAACAAGGUUUCCGUUGGUGAACCUGCGGAAGGAUCAUUAUCGAAUGAACUUUUGAAACAGGUUGUUGCUGGCCCUUUCAGGAGGGUAAUUGUGCACGCUUGUUCAAAUCUUUAUUCUCUCCUGAUGUGCACAUAUUGGUAGACCCUUUCCAUGUUUUUGUUUCCAGAACAGAUAGAGAGUUUGCUGUGCUUUUUCAAGUCGGCUUACUCUUGAAAGGGAGGGUGUCUAUGUUUACAAAAAAGAUGCUGUUUAGAAUGUCCAUAAUAAAAAAGUUAUAAUACAACUUUCAGCAACGGAUCUCUUGGCUCUCGCAUCGAUGAAGAACGCAGCGAAAUGCGAUAAGUAAUGUGAAUUGCAGAAUUCAGUGAAUCAUCGAAUCUUUGAACGCAUCUUGCGCUCCUUGGUAUUCCGAGGAGCAUGCCUGUUUGAGUGUCAUCAAGUUCCUCAAGCCCAUGCUGAGCCAUGGUCUUGGAUUAUGGGGGUUUAUUUGUUUGCAGGCUCCUUGAAGUCGGCUCCCCUGAAAUGCAUUAGUGGUAUCUGAGCAGAGAGAGAACUACGCAUAGGUGUGAUAAUUAUCUACGCCUUUGGUAGUGCCUUGCAUUUACACCGCUUCCAAACCAUUGUUUGACAUAUUUGACCUCAAAUCAGGUAGGACUACCCGCUGAACUUAA
This 678-nucleotide ribosomal RNA is filed under the name uncultured fungus. Its description in RNAcentral is "eukaryotic LSU rRNA". The stretch from base 289 to 442 matches the Rfam family "5.8S ribosomal RNA". The record is from RNAcentral. Lineage: Eukaryota; Fungi.